This 465-nucleotide ribosomal RNA is filed under the name uncultured bacterium. Its description in RNAcentral is "partial 16S ribosomal RNA". It matches the Rfam family "Bacterial small subunit ribosomal RNA", at positions 28 to 507 of the family's 1533-position model. The record is from RNAcentral.
GACGAACGCUGGCGGCGUGCUUAACACAUGCAAGUCGAACGGAAAGGCCCUGCUUGCAGGGUACUCGAGUGGCGAACGGGUGAGUAACACGUGGGUGAUCUGCCCUGCACUUCGGGAUAAGCCUGGGAAACUGGGUCUAAUACCGGAUAGGAGCCAUUUUUAGUGUGAUGGUUGGAAAGUUUUUUCGGUGUAGGAUGAGCUCGCGGCCUAUCAGCUUGUUGGUGGGGUAAUGGCCUACCAAGGCGGCGACGGGUAGCCGGCCUGAGAGGGUGGACGGCCACAUAGGGACUGAGAUACGGCACAGACACCUACGCGAGGCAGAAGUGGGGAAUAUUGAACAAUGGGCGCAAGCCUGAUGAAGAGACGCCGCGUGGGGGAUGACGGCCUUAGGGUUGUAAAAUCAUUUCGCUAGGGACGAAGCUUUUUGUGACGGUACCUAGAUAAGAAGCCCCGGCUAACUACGUG